RNAcentral lists this unclassified non-coding RNA (305 nucleotides) under Filipendula vulgaris. RNAcentral's name for it is "sequence contains 5.8S rRNA gene". Lineage: Eukaryota; Viridiplantae; Streptophyta; Magnoliopsida; Rosales; Rosaceae. The record is from RNAcentral.
GAACGCAAGUUGCGCCCGAAGCCAUUAGGCAGAGGGCACGCCUGCCUGGGCGUCACAUGUCGUUGCCCCACCUUCUCUUUCGAGAGUUUGUUGGGACGGAUGAUGGCCUCCCGUGUGCUUAGCCAUGCGGUUGGCAUAAAAACUAAGUCCUCGGCGAACAUGCCACGACAAUCGGUGGUUUUCCAAACCUCGGUGGCCUGUCGUGUGCGUUUAUCUUUUGAGGUCUCCCAUUCCCCCUUGUGCAUCGCUUUGGCGAUGCUUUCAACGGGACCCCAGGUCAGGCGGGGUUACCCGCUGAAUUUAAG